GAGUGCCAUGUCAUCACGCCUUAUCACAAACAACUCAUUGUCAUGUCAUCGCCUUCAAUGAUGUGGCACUGACGUGUUAGUGAUUAGGCGUGAUGACGAGGCACUCCGU
Molecule: non-coding RNA, 109 nt
Organism: Glycine soja
Lineage: Eukaryota; Viridiplantae; Streptophyta; Magnoliopsida; Fabales; Fabaceae
Source: Rfam